AAAAAAGCACCUUGUAUGGCGGACUUUAGAUGGCGGAAAUCCGCCAUCAAUACUUCAGUUGUUUAGAUGGCGGAUGUCCGCCAUCUAUUCUUUGAAUCCGCCGAGGAAAGGUUUUGGCUCGCCGGCGGUUCGAAAUUGUUUUCAAUGGCGGUGUUUAGAUGGCGGAUUUCCGCCAUCUAAACUAUCCCGCCCAAAAUUUCGAAUCUCCCCCAAACAAUAACCCGAUUACCCGAUUAAAUUGACUUAAGAUGGCGGAAAUCCGCCAUCUUAAGUAUUCGGGGACUCGGGCGGAAAAAGCCCGCCCAAAUUUCGAUUGGGCGGACUUUUCCACCUUACAUGGCGGCACUUAACUGUACUUACAUGGCGGAAAUCCGCCAUGUAAGUUUUGGGGUUUAAUAAAAAACCCCAAAUCGACAGACGCUACUGUCUGUCUUGAAAUCGUUCUCUCCUCUCCCCAAUCGCCGCCGUUGCCAACUGCCUUCGUCGUCGAUCACUUGCCGUCGUCCCGUCGCCGUCGUCAUCCCCUCCCGCCGGUCUUCCUUUCCGUGGUGUGAAGGUAUGUGAUCUUCCAUUUUUUUAUGUUGAUAUUUGUAUUUUAUGAAUUUGUUUUAGAUGAUUAGAUGUUUGGAUGUUUUGGGUAAAUCAUGUGUUUUAAUCUAUAUAUUUGUUAGUGUUUGGAUGUAUAGAUGUUUAGAUGAUAAUGUUAAUGGAUUGAUUUACAUUUUGAUUGAUUUUGAUUGAUUUACAUUUUUUAGAUUUUGGGUUCUAUAUAUGUUAAUGAAUGUUUGAGAAGGAUUAUGAUUUGUGAAGGAUUAUGUUAAUGAAUGUGGGGUUUGAAUGAAUGUUUAAUGAAUGUUGAGGAUCAUGUUAGAAGAGAAAAUAUGGGCGAUGGUUAUUGCUUUACAUGGGUAUCUAUAAUUGUCAUAUGGAGAUCAAACAUAUAAAGACAUAGAAUGAAAAUGCUUGCAUAUAUUGCUUAGUUUGCUGGCCGAUUUUAAAGGUUGGUUGGUGAUCUUCUUUUCUGCUGCAGAUGAAUCAUGAUGAUUCAUGAUUGAACUCAUGAUUUUGUCUUUGUUCUAUCUUCUAUGUUGUAGCUUCAUCCUUGUAAAAUUGAGCACACAACACACUAGGAGUAAAGUAUAAACUAUCAAGUAUUCAUCCUUGUACAUGAAAUUAAAAUAAUUAGUUUUUAAAAUAAUUAAAGUACUGUUUUUAAAUAAUUAAAUUAGAUAAUGAUUUGAAAUAGUUAAAUAAUUAAUGUAUUUCAUGUUUGAAAUUACAAAUUAAUUUAAAAAUUAAUUUGUUUUAAUAAUUUUCUGUUUUUAAAUUAUUUAAAAAAAAAUUAAAAAAAUUAAUUAAUUUAUGUUUUAAAAUAAUUUAAAAUUUAUAUUAAAUAAUUAAUGUGUUUUUUAAUGUAAUGAAUUAAUUUGCAUGAAUUCAAGUAAUUAAUUACAAUAAAAUUAAUAUGUUAUUAAUGAAAUAUUAAAUGUUUAUGUUAAAAAAUAAUAUGUUUUAUUAUUUAAUAAAUUGUAAAAUAAUAUUGUUUAAUAAUUAAUAAUUAUUUAAUUGAAUGUUAUUUAUUAAAAAAAUAGUAAUUAAUUAACAAUUUACAUUAAUGUAUUGUAUAUGUUAAUAAUUAAAUAUGAAUGAAUAUAUUUUUUUCAAUAAAUAAAUAAUUAAUUUACUGUUUUUAUGUUUUUUAAUUAAAUGAAAGUGUAUUUAAUUAAAAUAAUAAUUACUGUUAUUAUUGAUUUAAUAAAACAAUUAAUUAAUAUUUUCUUUAAAUAAAAAAAUAAAUAAUUUACUGUUUUUAAAUUAAAAAAUUAAUAAAUAAUUUUAAAAUUAAUUUAAAAUCAUUAUUUUAUUUACUGUUUUUAAUUAAAGAAUUAAUAAUAUUUUGAAAUAAAUAAAUAAUUUUCUGUUUUUAAAUAUUUUUAAAAAUAAUGAAAUUAAUUAUUUGAUAUACUGUUUUUAAUUAAAUAAUUAAUAAUUUUGUUGAAAUAAUUAAAAAAUUAUUGUGUUGUUGACUUGAUGUAGGUUUUGAAAAAUCAAGAAUCCAAAAAUUUGGAUUGAAUUAAGCUCUAUUGCGGUAUUAUAAAUGUUUAUUUAAUCAUUUUGUUUUAAAAAUAUUUAAUUAAUUUGCAUGCAUGUAAAUAUAAAUUUGUUAAUUAGUAAUUAUGAAAUUGAAUGAUUUGAAAU
Molecule: long non-coding RNA, 2199 nt
Filed under: Zostera marina
Lineage: Eukaryota; Viridiplantae; Streptophyta; Magnoliopsida; Alismatales; Zosteraceae
Description: long non-coding RNA (ZMAR_LNC004154)
Source: RNAcentral